Long non-coding RNA from Lolium rigidum, 180 nucleotides. RefSeq lists it as uncharacterized. The transcript is spliced from 3 exons. Lineage: Eukaryota; Viridiplantae; Streptophyta; Magnoliopsida; Poales; Poaceae. The record is from RefSeq and is a predicted model, not a curated record.
GCAAUGUCCUGCGGCUACAUCUCCAGGAAGUUCGUAGGGUCCCAAGCUCCUGGAGCAUGUUGAUGUCUCUGCUGUGGAGGAUGGUCUGCGGAGCCUGUACAUCAACCACUGUUGUUUGGGAAAAACGCCGCUUUUUUUAAUCAGUUCAUUUUGUAUUCUACCCCAGAAGACCUCCAGGAG